RNAcentral lists this unclassified non-coding RNA (215 nucleotides) under fungal sp. RNAcentral's name for it is "partial internal transcribed spacer region". The stretch from base 1 to 46 matches the Rfam family "Eukaryotic small subunit ribosomal RNA", at positions 1786 to 1831 of the family's 1831-position model. The record is from RNAcentral. Lineage: Eukaryota; Fungi.
AAGUCGUAACAAGGUUUCCGUAGGUGAACCUGCGGAAGGAUCAUUACCUAGAGUUGUAGGCUUUGCCUGCUAUCUCUUACCCAUGUCUUUUGAGUACCUUACGUUUCCUCGGCGGGUCCGCCCGCCGAUUGGACACUUUAAACCAUUUGCAGUUGCAAUCAGCGUCUGAAAAAACUUAAUAGUUACAACUUUCAACAACGGAUCUCUUGGUUCUG